This is a long non-coding RNA of Zophobas morio, 312 nucleotides long. RefSeq lists it as uncharacterized. Lineage: Eukaryota; Metazoa; Arthropoda; Insecta; Coleoptera; Tenebrionidae. The transcript has 4 exons. The record is from RefSeq and is a predicted model, not a curated record.
CCUAAUGCAUAUUUGGUCAACAAAAGUUGGAUACUUCAAGCUCCCUACCACCUCCCCCGUUGGUGGAGUUCGGACCCAAUAGGGCGUACACUGGAAGACUAGUUUUUAAACCAAGAUCAUUAAACCCUUAGGAAAAUAAGGAUGCAAUGGAUUCAAAUCUACAAAGUAUACCCGCCAAGACAGAAGCUUGAAAGUUGUCCGCCUCGAUUGUAGGGACUUUCUGGCCAACUUUAAACUGAUAUAAAACGAGAUGCUUUAUUGGAGACGGGACAGCUCCUCUCACGUUACCUUGAGGACCAAACAUGGAGGCUG